This 588-nucleotide ribosomal RNA is filed under the name uncultured bacterium. RNAcentral describes it as "bacterial SSU rRNA". It matches the Rfam family "Bacterial small subunit ribosomal RNA", at positions 259 to 863 of the family's 1533-position model. The record is from RNAcentral.
AACGGCCUACCAAGACUAUGACGGGUAGGGGACCUGAGAGGGUGGCCCCCCACAAUGGAACUAAAACACGGUCCAUACACCUACGGGUGGCAGCAGUAGGGAAUAUUAGAAAUGGACGAAAGUCUGAUCUAGCAACACCGCGUGUGCGAAGAAGGCCUUCGGGUCGUAAAGCACUUUUUGGAAGGAAUAGGAAGGAAUGUACUUCCAGAAUAAGUCUCGGCUAACUACGUGCCAGCAGCCGCGGUAACACGUAGGAGGCGAACGUUAUCCGGAUUUACUGGGCGUAAAGCGCGUGUAGGUGGUUCUGUAAGUAGGGCGUGAAAGCUCCUGGCUCAACUGGGAGAGGCCGUUCUAAACUACAGAACUAGAGGGUGGUAGAGGGAGGUGGAAUUCCAGGUGUAGCGGUGGAAUGCGCAGAUAUCUGGAGGAACACCAGUGGCGAAGGCGGCCUCCUGGACCAUUCCUGACACUCAGACGCGAAAGCUAGGGUAGCAAACGGGAUUAGAGACCCCGGUAGUCCUAGCCCUAAACGUUGAGAACUAGGCGUCGGAAGUUUAAUCACUUUCGGUGUCCAAGCUAACGCGAUAA